UUGAUACUGUGCUGUCAGCUGUUUAAAUCCGAUUAGCACAAGUGUUUCUUCCUCUUUCCAGUGAUUUGCCAUGUUCAUAAUGUGAUGCCAGCUAAUGACAGGGGAAGAGGCUAAACCAAGUUAUUUUCCCAUCGACUAAAUGGCAACUCGCAUUGCUCUUAAAAACGGUGAGCAGAAAAGGAAAUGUCCUUCAAGGAAACUGCUGGAUUAAGUUAACUACUUCUGACUGCUAAGAGCAGGAUAAAUGGGGAAAACAAAGGGAUUCGGACACUCGCACCCUCCUGAAAGCGGGAGAAUGAAUUGUUGUCGGACCACUGGAGGCCCAUUAAUCUUCCAGAUUUCUUGUUAGCACUGUCUGCCUUUAUAGUCAAGCUUGCGACUGGAAGCAUCCCUGGGGAUGCGUUCUGCAUGAUUCCCCUGACCGCUUGCAGGCCACGUCAUGCCCCAGAAGGUUGUUUUGGGAAUUGCUCUGCUGUCUCUCGGAGAGGUUUUUCAAUGUUGCCAUGACGUCCUCCUCCUGAAAUGCUGGAGCAGCCCAGGAUCUGCGGCGAGGGCAGCGCUGCCUUGUCGAAGCGACACGCAGACGCCAAGUUUUCUGUGUGUACAGUAUGGUAAGGACUGAAGAGAAGAUGCACAAAUGGAAUGGCUUUGCUUAAAGAAAUGUCUGAGGAAGAGCUGCUGAUGGCUUGCGCUUUUCCUAAAAUAUUUUUCUUUGUAUGGACAACAGCCUCCCCGGAGCCCAAGGUAGCUGCUCUUCAAUAUGCAAUAUCACUAUUGCCACGGAAUAACAUUCCAGCAUGGCAAUGAUAUGGUUCAACUAGUAGUAAUAAUAAUAUAAUCGUUGUUUGCACAGAUGAAAGCAGUAAAUGAUGUGAAAUGGAAAG
This 884-nucleotide long non-coding RNA is filed under the name Apteryx owenii (little spotted kiwi). Its description in RNAcentral is "lncRNA (ENSAOWG00000001122.1)". The record is from RNAcentral. Lineage: Eukaryota; Metazoa; Chordata; Aves; Apterygiformes; Apterygidae.